Phyllostomus hastatus (greater spear-nosed bat) is the source of this 135-nucleotide small nucleolar RNA. RefSeq annotates it as small nucleolar RNA SNORA29. The record is from RefSeq and is a predicted model, not a curated record. The transcript has a single exon. NCBI's taxonomy places the organism in Eukaryota, Metazoa, Chordata, Mammalia, Chiroptera, Phyllostomidae.
UUUCCCACUGGACUACCACAUUUUCUCCUAAUAAUUUUGGUGGCUAUGCUAAUGGGACAGAUUAAAAUUGCCGGGAUCUGAAGAGAAUGGAUGUAUGUGUGGUCUCCUCCCACGUGAAAGGCCGAACGGAAAUAU